RNA transcript from Oryzias melastigma (Indian medaka), 1429 nucleotides. It is a transcript of the gene named protein AMBP, with no coding region annotated. NCBI's taxonomy places the organism in Eukaryota, Metazoa, Chordata, Actinopteri, Beloniformes, Adrianichthyidae. The record is from RefSeq and is a predicted model, not a curated record. The transcript has 8 exons.
GUGUGACACAGAAAGAGAAUCAGAAUUCUGUCAUCAGUUCAGCAGACAAAAAAAGACCUUCAUGAUGCAGAAGGUCACACGCCUGCUGGUUCUACUGGUUCUGGGUUCUGCCAGGACCCAACAAGAUCCGAUUCUUUUGCAGGAGAACUUUGAUUUAGAGAAGUUUAUGGGGGGGUGGUACGAAGUGGCGGUGGCAUCCACAUGCCCGCACUACAUGCAACGAAAAAGGGAAAACCCGCUGAUAGUUGCUCUGAGACUAGACCAUGUUCCUUUUGGGAGCAACUUCACCAUGACAACCGCUACCUUAAGGAAUGGCUCCUGCAUGGAAACCUCCACGGAGUAUUUCCUGACCAACACUACAGGACGAUUCUUCCAUCACGUUGCUCGAUUCAGAGCAGACAUUGAUUCCUCUGUGCUUCACACUGAUGAAGAUGAUGGUUAUGCAGUGAUGCUGCAGCUGAGCACAGAGAAGCCAUCAGGAAACAAAACCAGCAUAAUCAAACUUUACAGUCGAACUGCAGAUGUGAGUCCUGCUGUUCUGCACCACUUUCAAGCUCUAGCCAUGAAUUAUGGAAUGAAUGAAGACGCCGUUAUUAUCAACCAAAACAAGGGUGUGUGUUUUCCAGGUGAAAAGGUGACACAGCUGCAGUUUGACUUUUCUUCCUAAGAAGUUGUGAAGCCACUUCUGAUUUCUUCAGAAAAAAAUGGAGACACCUGAACAGGGAGAACAAUCAUGUGUGGAGGUUGAUGAAGAUGAUCAGGAUUAUUUGUAAUGAGGAGUUAUAUGUGUUAAAUUUAUUAAACAUUUUAAGAUUCUGGGCUAAAAACAUACUUUUUGAUGACAAACCAAAAGAACAUCUUUUAUAAAGGCAGGAUGAUUUUUUUUAAAAACUGCUACCAAUCAUGGGUGGAAAAAAAAAUUUUGAAAAAAAAUUUAAACUGUAACAUCAAAGUAAUAGAUUUUAAGCCUUAUAGCCUGCAUAUAAACCCACAAGUUUGUGAAAAUCUGAAAUGGUAAAUAUAUAUUAUGUCAACCUAAAAUAAAUGGUAUGAGUAAAUGUAAUAUAAUUGAGUUAAUUCUAAUUAUAGGAUGCAAAAUCAGAGCAAAAAUCAGAGAUAUGGUGUAAUAAAAGUCUGUGAACUUCAAGACAUGCAGGGAAGUGAAAGUGUGAGGACAAGAUGUGAUUUCAGCCGCUUGUUUUUAGGAGAAACAGCAGCUGUAGUUUAAAAAGAGGGACACUAUAAGUGCUUAUCACUACAAAAAAAAAAUCCACAUAUCAAGGCUUAAAGAUUGCAACAAUUAUUAAAUUUCUCCCAAAUACAACAAAAAUGUACAAAUUCUAUUUAAGGAUGGUGAAAAAGUUUUAGUGUCUAAAACCAUGAGAGGUAUUGAUUUGUGGGUUUACUGCAGCUCUGAAGUCCAAUGUCU